UAGGGAAUAUUGCGCAAUGAGCGAAAGCUUGACGCAGCCAUGCCGCGUGAGUGAUGAAGGCCUUCGGGUCGUAAAGCUCUUUUCUGAGGGAAGAAUGGUCGAUGCAGGCAAUGGCAUCGAAUUGACGGUACCUCAGGAAUAAGGAACGGCUAACUCCGUGCCAGCAGCCGCGGUAAUACGGAGGUUCCAAGCGUUGUUCGGAAUUACUGGGCGUAAAGGGUGCGUAGGCGGUCGGGUAAGUUUGAUGUGAAAGCUCCAAGCUUAACUUGGAAACGGCAUUGAAUACUAUCCGGCUCGAGGGUUGGAGGGGGGACUGGAAUUCCCGGUGUAGCAGUGAAAUGCGUAGAUAUCGGGAGGAACACCAGUGGCGAAGGCGAGUCCCUGGACAACACCUGACGCUGAGGCACGAAAGCUAGGGGAGCAAACA
RNAcentral lists this ribosomal RNA (427 nucleotides) under uncultured prokaryote. Its description in RNAcentral is "bacterial SSU rRNA". It matches the Rfam family "Bacterial small subunit ribosomal RNA", at positions 355 to 774 of the family's 1533-position model. The record is from RNAcentral.